RNAcentral lists this small nucleolar RNA (87 nucleotides) under Caenorhabditis elegans. Its description in RNAcentral is "small nucleolar RNA K07C10.2". Lineage: Eukaryota; Metazoa; Nematoda; Chromadorea; Rhabditida; Rhabditidae. The record is from RNAcentral.
CAAGAGCUCAGACUAAGGCGUACUAUUUUUCUUUUCAGCAGACCGAGGCCCUCCAAAGGUGUCCUAAGUAAGUCAUCACAACUCUUG